ACGAAUAGGAAGACUCACGUUUAUCGACACCAACGGAGAGGAGGAAAACUUCAACCAGACGUCAUAGGACGAGAGGUAGACUCACAAUGCAAUGGACCAUGAUAUGCUAUGACCUAAUAUGAGAUGGUAUGUACAAUGAUAGGUGCAAAUUUGAGGUGCUACAGCUGCCCCUAUUCAAUCAGCUGGGAACCCGAACGGAUGAUAGCAGUGGCUAUCAGACUUUCAGGGUAACCAGGGAUUGAAUACCAAGAACCGUAGAAUUUGCACAAUAGGGAUCCACCACUGGAAACGUCCACUGGGAUUUGAUUUUUAUUACUGGGUAUAUAUUUUUGUUUUUGUUUUCAACGGGUAUAACCACAUCCAGACACCGCAACGACGAUGAAUGGGAAAAGAAAUCACAACUAGAUGCCAACGGACAACUAGGAAAAAACUCAACGUUCACCAAGACCAACGGAGAGGUAAAUCCACAAGGGGACAGGUACAACUAGACGUCAUAGGACGAAUAGGAAGACUCACGUUUAUCAACACCAACGGAGAGGAGGAAAACUCAGCCAGACGUCAUAGGACGAAAGGGAGACUCACGUUUAUCGACACCAACGGAGAGGAGGAUAACUUCAACCAGACGUCAUAGGACGAAAGGGAGACUCACGUUUAUCGACACCAACGGAGAGGAGGAAAACUCAGCCAGACGUCAUAGGACGAAAGGGAGACUCACGUUUAUC
This 722-nucleotide long non-coding RNA is filed under the name Lathyrus oleraceus (garden pea). RNAcentral describes it as "Pisum sativum (pea) long non-coding RNA (PSAT_LNC010109)". Lineage: Eukaryota; Viridiplantae; Streptophyta; Magnoliopsida; Fabales; Fabaceae. The record is from RNAcentral.